RNAcentral lists this ribosomal RNA (510 nucleotides) under uncultured bacterium. RNAcentral describes it as "bacterial SSU rRNA". It matches the Rfam family "Bacterial small subunit ribosomal RNA", at positions 8 to 507 of the family's 1533-position model. The record is from RNAcentral.
AGAGUUUGAUCAUGGCUCAGAGUGGACGCUGGCGGCAGGCCUAAUACAUGCAAGUCGAACGGCAGCACAGCAGAGCUUGCUCUGUGGGUGGCGAGUGGCGGACGGGUGAGGAAUACGUGGGAAUCUGCCCAGUCGUGGGGGAUAACGUAGGGAAACUUACGCUAAUACCGCAUGCGCCCUUCGGGGGAAAGCCGGGGACCUUCGGGCCUGGCGCGAUUGGAUGAGCCCACGUCGGAUUAGCUAGUUGGCGGGGUAAAGGCCCACCAAGGCGACGAUCCGUAGCUGGUCUGAGAGGAUGAUCAGCCACACUGGAACUGAGACACGGUCCAGACUCCUACGGGAGGCAGCAGUAGGGAAUAUUGGACAAUGGGCGCAAGCCUGAUCCAGCCAUGCCGCGUGAGUGAAGAAGGCCCUCGGGUUGUAAAGCUCUUUUGUCCGGAAAGAAAAGCGCCGGGUUAAUACCCUGGUGUCCUGACGGUACCGGAAGAAUAAGCACCGGCUAACUUCGUG